Molecule: ribosomal RNA, 389 nt
Filed under: Yarrowia lipolytica
Lineage: Eukaryota; Fungi; Ascomycota; Dipodascomycetes; Dipodascales
Description: partial 28S ribosomal RNA
Rfam family: Eukaryotic large subunit ribosomal RNA
Source: RNAcentral
GCAAAAGCUCAAAUUUGAAACCUUCGGGAUUGUAAUUUGAAGAUUUGGCAUUGGAGAAAGCUAACCCAAGUUGCUUGGAAUAGUACGUCAUAGAGGGUGACAACCCCGUCUGGCUAACCGUUCUCCAUGUAUUGCCUUAUCAAAGAGUCGAGUUGUUUGGGAAUGCAGCUCAAAGUGGGUGGUAAACUCCAUCUAAAGCUAAAUACUGGUGAGAGACCGAUAGCGAACAAGUACUGUGAAGGAAAGGUGAAAAGAACUUUGAAAAGAGAGUGAAAUAGUAUGUGAAAUUGUUGAUAGGGAAGGAAAUGAGUGGAGAGUGGUUGAGGUUUCAGCUUGCCUUUGGGCAGGUGUAUUGCCAACGCCGAGUCAUUGACAGCGAGACGGCGGUU